RNA transcript from Poecile atricapillus (Black-capped chickadee), 1119 nucleotides. It is a transcript of the gene named myb-related transcription factor, partner of profilin-like, with no coding region annotated. The transcript has 5 exons. The record is from RefSeq and is a predicted model, not a curated record. Lineage: Eukaryota; Metazoa; Chordata; Aves; Passeriformes; Paridae.
AUAUACUCUGAGGUAUCCAGCCAGCAGGAGGGAGCUGAACCCUUUGCCAGGACAGAAACCAUGCAGGUUUCCCGACUACACCAAGCACCUAAGAGCAGCACCCUAGCUGUCCCAUGUAAAAUGGUAAUUUGAUAAUUACCAUUAAUAAUGCUGCAAUCCCUCAGCAUUACUUCAUUUAUGGAACAAAUUUCUACUUCCUGACAGUAACUGUUCAUUUUAGUCACAUUUUUAACAGAGGGACUUGGGGAGUAGGGGUAGAGAUCAUCCCACCUUACAUGUUGCCAACCAGCUGGGCAGGGAGAUUCGAGACCACUAGCCAAGUUAUGAAGCAUUUAAUGACAGGGGGAAAAAAUGGGCUUUAAUUUUGGCACAAGCAUCCUCAAGUUGAACAGCGGCACUGACGUCACUACUUUUAUAACCAAAACAACAACAGAUUUUUUUCCGCCAGACUGUCGUUUGUCCCCGCUGUCCCCGGAUGGGCACGGAGCGGGUCAAGCCGGGGGCCGGGUGUGAGUCAGCUGCGGCACCGGCCCGCGGUGAAACAUCAGCGGGCGCGCCGCGCUCCGGGUGUCGGCCGGGAGCUCCGCCGAUGGCUUUUUGAGUUUUCUCUGCUUCAUUAGUUGAGGCCGGAGCACCAUCAGUGAAUAAGCAGUUUCAACUAUGUCAUUGAGGAAGGCUUCUGAGUAUAAAGUUUUUUCCAGUUUGAGACAGCUGCAUCAUUAUGUGUUGGAUGAAUAAAUGGGCAGUGAGGAAGAAGUGGAGACCCAGGUGCUGAGGAAAAAGGAAGAGACUAAGAAAAGAAAUGGAAGAACUCAUAAGCAAGAUUGCUCAUGUUGGAUUCUGGAUGAACAGCAAGAUCCAGUUUUCACUGCUGCUGGAAAUUUUUAAACAGCAAGAAUAUAAAUCUGUGAAGAGGGAAACAUACAAAGCUACAAGAUGGAGGAUAUAAGAAUUCUUGACAUAGCUUAGAAACACAAAGUUGGUCUUAGUUUAUCUGUUUGGUAAAUCCUGUAUUAAAAUUCUUGCUAUUCCUCAGAAAAUUCUGCAGACUUGUAAACCAGCUGUUUAUUUCCUUCAGUCCUAAUCUUAUGUUUGCAAUAAAAGCAUUUGGAAACUUGA